CAGCAGUGACGCGUGUGUGUGUUUUAGCGCGCGAGAUCACCGGAGAGUCCAGCAUCAGAGCCAGAGCCAGAGCCAGAGACAGUCACGGUGCCGGACGAACCGCAGACCGGAGCAGAGCAGAGCGGAGCGGAGCGGGUUUAUCAGGUUCUCCUCAUCUGGACACUGAAGCACGGUGAAGCACGGUUCUCCGUGUUGUGUGUGUCUGUGAGCCGCUGCUGUCCUGAUCACACUUGAGGGCGGGGC
This is a long non-coding RNA of Sinocyclocheilus rhinocerous, 243 nucleotides long. RefSeq lists it as uncharacterized. The record is from RefSeq and is a predicted model, not a curated record. Lineage: Eukaryota; Metazoa; Chordata; Actinopteri; Cypriniformes; Cyprinidae. The transcript has 3 exons.